This 468-nucleotide ribosomal RNA is filed under the name uncultured bacterium. RNAcentral describes it as "partial 16S ribosomal RNA". It matches the Rfam family "Bacterial small subunit ribosomal RNA", at positions 28 to 507 of the family's 1533-position model. The record is from RNAcentral.
GACGAACGCUGGCGGCGUGCUUAACACAUGCAAGUCGAACGGACAGGCCCUGCUUUUGUUGGGUUCUCUAUUGGCGAACGGGUGAGUAUCACGUGAGUAACCUGUCCUUGUCUUUCGGAUAACUUCUGGAAACUGGGGCUCAUAUCGGAUAGGAGCUCCUGCUGCGUGGUGGGGGUUGGAGAAUUUCGGCGGUUGGGGAUCGACUCGCGGCUUAUGAGCUUGUUGGUGGGGUAGUUGCUUACCAUGGGUUUGACGGGUAGCCGGCCUGAGAGGGUUACCGGCCACAAUGGGACUGAGAUACGGCGCAGACUCCUACGGGAGGCAGCAGUGGGGAAUAUUGCACAAUGGGCGGAAGCGUGAUGCAGCAACGCCGCGUGCGGGAUGACGGCCUACGGGUUGUAAACCGCUUUCGCCUGUGACGAAGCGUGAGUGACGGUAAUGGGUAAAGAAGCACCGGCUAACUACGUG